CGAGGUUGGACUAAUAUUUUUAACUACUUAAUACAUUGGCUCGAAUUUAGGUUGUGCCUUUUAUAUUUUUAGAAGAUUAACAACUAAGGAAGAUUUUUUUUAAACUUCUCUUAUUGACUUCUCGAACCCCGGCCUGGGCUGUUUGGUCUGUUUCGCAAGCGUUCCCAAAGUCUCGCGAUGUUGCGUCUCUGAGUUUAGAAACUAUGGUAACGCCAUUUUCGCCCAACAGUUCAGUAGCCAACAAAUGUGUUUCUAGUGAUAUAAGACCUAGUUAAAUGAAACGUGGUCUAUUUAACAUGAAAGAUCAUGUAAUACUUUUUUGGUUCAGAUAUCACUUCCCGUACAUGUAGCUAGCUAGUCACCGAUGAUGCAGCGAUAAGCAAUAAAGCCGUGACAGCUACCUGUGGUCAGUCAGGAAGAACAGCGCAAAGAGACAAGACAGUGAGCAGUGUUUCUGUUCUCGCAAAGUCGAAAUAACAAAAAAAAUAACUUGUUGUUUCAGAAUAUAUACAACAUUUCAGUGUUUUCAAUCGGAAACUGCAUUGAAGUCGGACUAACUCCUCACUGUACUGUGUUGGGCAACGGAUGUCCAACAGAACGGAUGCGUGAGAACAUGUCUGCCAUGGUGUGUGUGAAGGAGGAGGAGGAGGACCCUGGGGAGAAGCUGUCCCAGGAUGAGAUCAUCUCCAGGACCAAGCAGGUGAUCCAGGGCUUGGAGGCUCUAAAGCAGGAACACAACUCCAUCCUGGAGGGCCUUCUGGGCACACUGCACUGCUUGAAGCAGGAUGACCAGGGAGUCCUGGUGGAGGAGAAGUCCCUCAUGAUCCGCAAGUCCCUGGAGAUGCUGGAGCUGGGCCUGAGCGAGGCACAGGUGAUGAUGGCGCUGUCGGGCCACCUGAGCUCGGUGGAGUCGGAGAAGCAGAAGCUGCGGGCACAGGUGCGCCGGCUGUGCCAGGAGAACCAGUGGCUGAGGGACGAGCUGGCAGGCACCCAGCAGAAGCUGCAGAAGAGCGAGCAGAGUGUGGCUCAGCUGGAGGAGGAGAAGAAACACCUGGAGUUCAUGAACCAGCUGAAGAAGUACGAUAAGGACCUGCUGCCAUCGGAGGAGAAGGACUCUGACUCCAGUAAAGAGAAUCUGGAUGAUCUGUUCCCAGAUGACCAGGAUGACCAACCUCCAGGCAUCCAGCAGCCCCACGGUAGUGCAGCAGCAGCCGCCGCCCAGCAGGGUGGCUAUGAGAUCCCGGCUCGCCUCAGGACCCUUCACAACUUGGUGAUCCAGUACGCCUCCCAGGGCCGUUACGAGGUGGCCGUGCCCCUCUGCAAACAGGCCCUGGAGGACCUGGAAAAAACCUCCGGACACGACCACCCUGACGUGGCCACCAUGCUCAACAUCCUGGCCCUGGUCUACAGGGACCAGAACAAAUACAAAGAGGCAGCCAACCUGCUGAAUGACGCUCUGGCGAUCAGGGAGAAAACUCUGGGCAGGGACCAUCCAGCGGUGGCUGCUACACUCAACAACUUGGCCGUGCUCUACGGGAAACGGGGGAAGUACAAAGAGGCGGAGCCACUUUGCAAGCGGGCUCUGGAGAUCCGGGAGAAGGUUCUGGGUAAGGACCACCCAGAUGUGGCCAAGCAGCUGAACAACCUGGCCCUGCUGUGUCAGAACCAGGGCAAGUACGAGGAGGUGGAGUACUACUACCAGCGGGCCCUGGAGAUCUACCAGACCAAACUGGGCCCUGACGACCCCAACGUGGCCAAGACCAAGAACAACCUGGCGUCCUGUUACCUGAAGCAGGGGAAGUUCAAGCAGGCUGAAACUCUGUACAAAGAGAUCCUUACCCGCGCACAUGAGAGGGAGUUUGGCUCUGUAGACGAUGAGAACAAACCCAUUUGGAUGCAUGCGGAGGAGAGAGAAGAACAGAGCAAGGGAAAGCAGCAGGACGGCUCCCCGUUCGGAGAGUAUGGAGGCUGGUACAAAGCCUGUAAAGUAGACAGCCCCACAGUGACCACCACCCUGAAGAACCUGGGCGCCCUCUACAAGCGGCAGGGUAAAUUUGAGGCGGCAGAGACCCUAGAAGAGGCCGCUAUGCGUUCCAGAAAACAGGGUCUGGACACGGUGCACAAACAGCGUGUGGCGGAUGUUCUGAGUGAGCCAGAGACGCGGGAGAAGCAGUGGAGCCGUGAGAGCCUGACCUCCGACGCCACGGUCAAGUAUGAGAGUGGCCCGGACGGUGGCGAGGAAGUGAGUAUGAGCGUGGAGUGGAACGGGUGCUGAAACCUCUGUCAGACACACAUAGUACAUACUGGCAUAAUCCCAGAUGCCUUGUUGUGGUUCUAAGUACUUGUCUUCUGCAUGACGGACACCAGCUCGCCUGCCACCCCUCCAGCUUUGCAGUUGUGUCUUCUCUUCAGACUCUUCUCUCCUCCUCUGGGCUGUCUGUCUGGUGACUCUACUGGGCCAAGCUGUCCCUAGUUCUAUCCUCCUAUCCACUGUCAAUGGGACCAGGGGGGCUGGGCUCUGUCUCAGAACCAAACCAAGCCACUCCUGCCUCCUGCCAUUACCUUAUCUUGCUCUUUGCUGUACUUAAAUACUCUGUCUCCUCACUCUAUCUGUUCUAUCUCUCAGUAGGGUGUGUGUGGUGUUGCGUUUCCAGCAUUUACUAGAAGUAAUGAUGCAUACCGGUCUGCUUUUGCUCGUAGUGAUUUAACUAACAUACUGUGAAUUCUAUGAGUUGGUGGCAUGAUCAUCAUCCUGUAUGCUCCCUCAGAGUACCGUGGUGGCUCUAGGCUGCUGUCGAGUUUCUUUACUAGUGUUUGAUCCUAUGCUCCAUGUGGUCCUAUUGAUGUCAAACUUAACGGUGUUGUCAUGUCCUGAUCAGGAGGGAGUGUCAAAAGACAAUGCAGCUCCUGUGUAUACAGAGCCAGAUGGUGGGAGGGGAUGGGGAGUGUAGAGGGGGGUAUAGGAAAGAGGAGUGGGACAUGCCUCACUCUGCAGAGUGGAAUCUGGACACUUCUCUUCAUGGCUCCUACUAAUCUACUCUGUCCUGUCUGUGCUUCUUAUAGUAUGUAUCUCUUAACUUCUAAUAAAACGUAAGUCUUUGCUCACUCACAUCUUUGCCUGUAGCCUCUUUGUGUGCUCUCUCUCUUUCUGUGUGUGAGUGUAAAGCGGGGUUUGUGUGUGGUUGGUUGUGUGUGUGUCUAAAUCUUGAUGGUAGCGGUCAACUCCGGGACCAUGGUAAAGUGACCCGUCCUUCUUUUCCUUCUCUUCUCCAUGGUGGUGUCCUAGUGGACAGGUCAGAGGUUAGGGGUCAGAGCUGUGUGAAUAACCACAGAGCAUGAAAACCUGUUACUCCAAGAUCUGAUCAAACAUAGCAGGAUGGAUAUUGCUACCUUGAAUGAAUAAAGCUUGAAAACCUUUAGAAGGAAUUUACAUUGCUCUGCUCUGUUGACCCAAGAGAACUAUUGUGAGCAUAACUUUAUACAAUGUUUUUGGAGGGCUUCUCUAAUUUCUUUAUAGCAUCAUUUCUGAAUAGCACACGGAUGAGGCCGACAUGUUUUGUCUCAACAGAGUCUAAUCGGAUGCACAUGCAAAAACAAGCACAUGCACAGUCCAUCACAUAUGCAGACAGAAGAAGUUACUGAGCCAAUUCUCUGUAUUUUGAUUGUGUGUGUGCGUGCGUGCGUGCAUAUCUGUACGGAGUGUGGGGGUGUGUGCAACUCUGCAUGCAUGUUUGUCUCUACCUGUGUGUAUGCAAGAUGUGAGUGUGAAAGUCACCCUCUGACCUCUCUCAUCAGGACGGUUCCGGCUCUCUGAAGCGGAGCGGCUCCUUCAGUAAACUCCGUGCCUCUAUUCGCCGCAGCAGUGAGAAACUGGUCCGCAAGCUGAAGGGCGGCAGCUCACGGGAGUGGGACCCCAAAAACUCUGGGAGCGAAAUAAUCAUCUGAGAAAGAGUCGUGACCUGAGUGCCAGCCACACUGACCUGGCGCAUUGAAGGUCGGAACUCAGAAUGUUCCCGUGGAGAAGUGACAGAGGUCAUGGGGUCUGUCUCCUAAACAACCCCCUCCCUGUUGUAGGUAUACAGCUGGCUGCAGUACGUAGGUUUCACAAUCCCAUUGCACUUUGAUCUCAUCACUGGUUUGCUUAGGUGUUUUAAUUUAAAUGUUUUCUCUUUUCUAUCAAUAUAUAUAUUGAACAACAUGAGAUUAGUUAUAAUGAACGACAAAUGUAUAACGCUAAGUCAAGUGUAAAUGCGUGUGUGUGGAUGUAAGUAUGCACCUAUAUUUUAUAGUUAAGUGCUCAAAUGAGAGAAUGUUCAUUUUUGUAUUUUCUGUGUGUGUGGUUGCUUUGUCCUACCUUACCUCCACAGAUCUAAAUCGUAACUUAAAUCAUUUGGGUAUCACUUGAAUGGAAUAUGUGAGCAGUUCAGGAGGUCCCAAUAGGGUACUUAACUCUGCUGUCUUACCCCCUUUCAUCCAAAUUGAUGUCCUGUGUGUUCUUAUUGAAGUGCUAGAUGUGUUUGUUGUAUUAAGUUUUAUGUUUUACAUUUGGGUUGUGUAAAUUAUGGUUUAUUUUAUUUCCUAUGCUGAUCUGGGGAAUCUUAUUUCUUUGUAUCAGAGGUCUUGAAAUGGAUAGCUCUGCUUCUAGCAAUUUCAAGAGACUGCUCAAAAUGUAUGUGAAGUUAUGAGGCAGGAUCGUUCUGUUGGCACAUUAAGUAUAUCUGGUGGAUUUCUCAGGAUUGUCACAGAACAGAAGAUGGCUAGCGAAGCUAGUUUUGAUAUACACUGACUGCACUAUAUAUUUAACACAGGAACCUGUUACAAUCAAAUGCAUUUUCCAGUAAUAGCAUAAAAAUAUUGUUACAAUCUGGAGUAAAGACAUUGUUUACUAAUUUGUACCAAUCUGUUUCUGUAUGUUGAAUGAUGAAUCAAGAGUAAGACUAUGUAUAAAGAGUGAAAUUAAGCUGAAGUACUUGGACUUCAUUAGAUUAAAUAUCCAACCAAAAAAAUCAACAAAUGUUUUUUGUCACUCCCACAUUUACAUUGUUUUACUUUGUUCUCAAAACUUUCAAGUUAACGUUUGCUCGUUUCCGAAGUGUGCCUUUUUUAGGUCCACAGACAUGAUCCUACUGACAUGGGUUUGGAUUGCUUGUUGGGUGGACUGUUAAUGUGGUCUGUUGAUGGGGAUGUGUGAUAGCGUUAUCUUAUGUAAGGAAGGUGACUGUUACAUUUGACUUCAGUCAUCAUAGGCCCAGGAACUUUCCCAGUCCCUCACCAGGAUGACUUAAAGAGGGGUGAAAUAUUACUAAUUAGGGUUAAAUUGACCAGACCGGUUUCACUAUCCAAGGAACAGGACCUAUUUUUAUGAUAAACAAGCAAGUUGUCAUGAGCAGAGGGAACCAUGGAGUAGUGAGUAAUUUGCAAGUAAUCCUAUGAGCAGUGGUACAAUGGCUGCGUUUACACAGGCAGCCCAAUUCGGACCUUUUUUCCACAAAUUGGUAGUUUGGCCAAUCACAUCAGAUCUUUUUCAGGGCUGAUCCGAUUGGUCAAAAGACCAGUAAAUAAAACAAAUAUCAGAAUUAGGCUGGCAGUGUAAACGCAGCUUCUGAGUCACUUGAAGUGGUGCACAGAAUCAUGGAGAAGGACAACACGCCCUGAACUAGUGAAACACUGCUGGGAAAUGUUAAUGAUGACAUCACCCUAUUAUUUGUGACACAGUCAAUGCACCAGACUGUCCAAGUUAACUUUUUUUUGUUUGGGGUUGGGCUUCAGUGUGUGUAUGUUUGGAGAUGUCCUGGGCUAGACUGGCAAUAGGAACACAAUUGGUAACUAUCCAAACUUCCAGCCCCUUUCCCUUAGGAUGACUGCUGUGCUGGCUGGAUCCCUUUAGCCUGAACUGUGGUGAAGUGUUUGUCCUGAAAAAGAUGUUAUAUGGUAUAAAUUGUUUGAAUAAAACUAUACAAAUGUU
Oncorhynchus mykiss (rainbow trout) is the source of this 5965-nucleotide non-coding RNA. NCBI's taxonomy places the organism in Eukaryota, Metazoa, Chordata, Actinopteri, Salmoniformes, Salmonidae. The record is from RefSeq and is a predicted model, not a curated record.